This 435-nucleotide unclassified non-coding RNA is filed under the name uncultured Tomentella. RNAcentral describes it as "sequence contains ITS2". The stretch from base 1 to 155 matches the Rfam family "5.8S ribosomal RNA". The record is from RNAcentral. Lineage: Eukaryota; Fungi; Basidiomycota; Agaricomycetes; Thelephorales; Thelephoraceae.
AACUUUCAGCAACGGAUCACUUGGCUCUCGCAUCGAUGAAGAACGCAGCGAAGUGCGAUAAGUAAUGUGAAUUGCAGAAUUCAGUGAAUCAUCGAAUCUUUGAACGCACCUUGCGCCCUUUGGCUAUUCUGAAGGGCAUGCCUGUUUGAGUAUCAUGAACACCUCAACUCUCAUGGUCCGCCAUGAUGAGCUUGGACUUUGGGGGUCUUGCCGGCCCAGUGUCGGCUCCUCUCAAAUGGAUCAGCUUGCCAGUGUUUGGUGGCGUCACAGGUGUGAUAACUAUCUACGCUUGUGGUUUUCUGCCAUAUAACCUUCAGUGAUGGAGGUUCUCUGGAGCUCACAGAUGUCUCUCCUUGGGGAGGACAGCUUUUGAACGUUUGAUCUCAAAUCAGGUAGGACUACCCGCUGAACUUAAGCAUAUCAAUAAGCGGAGGC